Molecule: ribosomal RNA, 253 nt
Filed under: uncultured bacterium
Lineage: Bacteria
Description: partial 16S ribosomal RNA
Rfam family: Bacterial small subunit ribosomal RNA
Source: RNAcentral
UACAUGUGGGGCAAGCGUUGUUCGGAAUUACUGGGCGUAAAGCGCGUGUAGGCGGUCCGGUAAGUCCGCUGUGAAAGUCGGGGGCUCAACCCUCGGAUGCCGGUGGAUACUGUCGGGCUUGAGUACGGAAGAGGCGAGUGGAAUUCCUGGUGUAGCGGUGAAAUGCGCAGAUAUCAGGAGGAACACCAAUUGCGAAGGCAGCUCGCUGGGACGUUACUGACGCUGAGACGCGAAAGCGUGGGGAGCAAACAGG